UACGAAGGGGGCAAGCGUUGUUCGGAUUUACUGGGCGUAAAGCGCGCGCAGGCGGAUUGUUAAGUAGGGCGUGAAAUCUCCCGGCCUAACUGGGAGGGGUCGCCCUAAACUGGCAGUCUUGAGGACAGCAGAGGUAGGUGGAAUUCCUGGUGUAGUGGUGAAAUGCGUAGAGAUCAGGAGGAACACCGGUGGCGAAGGCGGCCUACUGGGCUGUCUCUGACGCUGAGGCGCGAAAGCUCGGGGAGCGAACGGG
This 253-nucleotide ribosomal RNA is filed under the name uncultured bacterium. RNAcentral describes it as "partial 16S ribosomal RNA". It matches the Rfam family "Bacterial small subunit ribosomal RNA", at positions 524 to 776 of the family's 1533-position model. The record is from RNAcentral.